This 690-nucleotide ribosomal RNA is filed under the name Sutcliffiella horikoshii. RNAcentral describes it as "bacterial SSU rRNA". It matches the Rfam family "Bacterial small subunit ribosomal RNA", at positions 55 to 728 of the family's 1533-position model. Lineage: Bacteria; Bacillati; Bacillota; Bacilli; Caryophanales; Bacillaceae. The record is from RNAcentral.
AUGCAGUCGAGCGGACCUUUUAAAGCUUGCUUUUGAAAGGUCAGCGGCGGACGGGUGAGUAACACGUGGGCAACCUGCCUGUAAGACUGGGAUAGCUUCGGGAAACCGGAGCUAAUACCGGAUAAUAUAAGGAACCUCCUGGUUCUUUAUUGAAAGAUGGUUUCGGCUAUCACUUACAGAUGGGCCCGCGGCGCAGUAGCUAGUUGGUGAGGUAACGGCUCACCAAGGCGACGAUGCGUAGCCGACCUGAGAGGGUGAUCGGCCACACUGGGACUGAGACACGGCCCAGACUCCUACGGGAGGCAGCAGUAGGGAAUCUUCCACAAUGGACGAAAGUCUGAUGGAGCAACGCCGCGUGAGCGAUGAAGGCCUUCGGGUCGUAAAGCUCUGUUGUUAGGGAAGAACAAGUGCGAGAGUAACUGCUCGCACCUUGACGGUACCUAACCAGAAAGCCACGGCUAACUACGUGCCAGCAGCCGCGGUAAUACGUAGGUGGCAAGCGUUGUCCGGAAUUAUUGGGCGUAAAGCGCGCGCAGGUGGUCCUUUAAGUCUGAUGUGAAAGCCCACGGCUCAACCGUGGAGGGUCAUUGGAAACUGGGGGACUUGAGUGCAGAAGAGGAAAGUGGAAUUCCAAGUGUAGCGGUGAAAUGCGUAGAGAUUUGGAGGAACACCAGUGGCGAAGGCGACUUU